Mirounga angustirostris (Northern elephant seal) is the source of this 2830-nucleotide long non-coding RNA. RefSeq lists it as uncharacterized. The transcript is spliced from 2 exons. Lineage: Eukaryota; Metazoa; Chordata; Mammalia; Carnivora; Phocidae. The record is from RefSeq and is a predicted model, not a curated record.
AGAGGCUGGAGCGGCUUGGGAGGGAAACAGGUUCUGCGGGUCCAGUCGGUAAGCCCUUUCCAGCACGCCCAGUACUGGGAUUCUGGACGUAGUUCGGAGGGGAAACGGCGAGGAACAAAAACAAACCGUCUUGGCGGGUAGGGCCAGGCCCCCACCCUGCGGCGGUCACAGCAGCAGUAGAAGGCGAUGAUGGAGUGCAGCUCCAGCUGUCUACGGAGACUGGUUGGUGCGCGCCCCCCACCCCUCAGGGCAGGGUCUCGGCUUUGGGCCCCCGCCCCUCCCCCCCAGCCGUCCUCCCACCUUAAGGCACAUACUGCCCCUCGCGCGCCCGGCCCGACGGAAGGGCUGGAGGGGACCGGGAGCCCCUCGACUGGGGGGGGGACGUCCCCGCCGCCUAACCCGGGGCGCAUUCACCACGGAGGCCGGCUCAGAUGGGAACAAGAGGCCUUUAGUGUCGCCCCCCGCAGCCCCAGCUGCCCGCGCGGCCCGGCCCGGGCCGGGGCUCAGACCGGCGGCGCUGCGGGCGGGGCGGGCUGAGCGAGGAUGAGGCGGAUGCACUCCACGCACUGCGCGGCCGCCUGCCGUGUUUCGCGGCACAGCGUCGCCAGGCUCAGGAAGCCGUGCGGCAGGUCCUCCACCACGCGCAGCGUCACGGGCUUGCCGAGGCCGCGCAGCCGCCGCGCGAACAUGACCGAGUCGUCCAGCAUGGGGUCCAGCGCGCAGGCCUGCGGGACGGCGGGGGUGGGGCACGGGGCAGGGGAACGAGGGGAGGGGGCGGGGGGUGGGAGACUGAGCCUCGGCCCAGCAUCUCCGCCCCUUUCGCCCCCCAGACCCACCACCUCUUUCCCCUUCCCGAUCGCGAGAGGAAAUAGCAGCCCUGGUUUCCCUGCAGCCCUCCGGUCCCCGGGCAUUCCCUCCUGGUGGCACGGCUCUCCCUUCCCUUCGGCCGGCAGCCAGGCCACCUUACCACCCCCACCCCUCCGCUCUCUCGCUCCCGGGCUCCCUUCCGCAGGUGCACCUGCCCCUGCCCGCCCCUGCUCGCCUUGCUCCCCGCCCAGCGCACUGUCCGAAUCUGGCGCUCACCACAAUGUGCACGGGCGGCAGGCUCUGUAGCAUGCUGUCAGACGCCAGCAGCGGCGACAUGAAGGGGUUCUUGACGAUGGGCGAGGAGCAGAAGGGCAUCCGGGUGGUGCCCUGGCUGGAGCGCCUGGGGUGGAAACCGUCAGGGAAGGAGGAGCGCAAGCCGCAGCCUCUGUCCUUGGUGCUCAGCUCCUCCUGUGCCUUAGCGGCCUCGGGUGCGUCGUCUGGGCCAACCAAGAAGUUGACGUCGGAGGGCGUGGAGGGGCCAAGUGUCUCCGCAGACAUGGACAGCUCCGGGGUUUUUGACGUUUCAGAGCUGCCCCUUAGGCUCAGGUCGUGUAGGGUCAGGCUCUUGAGGGAGUCCGUGCCCAGCGGGCCCUCGGGCUGGGCCAGGGCUGCCUCGGACACGCUGCGCCGCAUUGACUCUGCAAGAGGAGCAGGGGCAGGUGGCCAGUGGGGGCCACAGCUCAGCUGGGCUAUGUGGGCUGGGUGUGCGUGGUGGGCAGGAGAGGUCGGGGGGGAGGGCAGUGACCUCUGCAGGAGGAGCUGUGUGUUAGGCUGUGGAGGCCGAGUGUUCCCCCCAGGCGCCCGUCCUCAGGGAUGGGUGGGGAGCCCCAGGUGCCCCAGGCUGCAACUCCAAGGGGGAGGUGGGAGGAGUCACGUGGUGGUGGAGGUGUGUGUGUGUGUGCGCACGUGUGUGCGUGCGAGCGUGUGGUGACCGGGAGGGUGAAAUGCAAGUCAGUUUACCUCUGGGAGCCUCAGUUUCCUCCUCUGUACAAAGAGGGGAUAAAAAGAGUCCUUACCUCAUAGGAGUUGGUGAGGACUCGGUGGGAGGAGGCACUGCUGCCCCCUGGGAGGUCACACGCUAUCCUCAUGUUUUAUUACUAGGCCUGGUGCCUUGUUCCAGCCGCCUCCCUGACCCCAGCACGGGGCCCCAGCCAACCUGUGAGGGCCACUCAACACAGAGGGUGUCAACAGUGGAAUAGUGAGCAGGCCCACGUGAGCAGGCCACGUUCACAGGGAGCUAAAGAGAGUCUUGGGAGCCUAUUCGAUUCCCAGGGAUCCCACACCUGCAGCCACACAGAUCUGCUCUCCACAUUUCCUUCAUGUUCUUUAGUUUUAUCCCUUACCUUUGAGUGACUGGACAAACAAGUGCCCUGCGGAGGCCGAAGACGCGCUUCGGGCCGCGUGGAGUGCCCACCUUAGCCUCCGCUCCAUUAAUCUGACCCGACCUACGCUGCUUACCACUGGGGCCAGGACCCUGCCUUUUGCAAGUAUCUUUUCUUUUUGAACUCGUCUAUAUAAAUCCACGAAGGCAAGAUGUAAGACGAUAUGAGAGUAACUGCCUAAGUGCCCCGUGACCCAGAGGGUCACCGGAACGGAACCACUGACAGGAGUCACGGGGCGCAGCCUGUCAGGGGUGCCAGCAUCUGCUAGGAGCACCUACUGGGUGUCAGGUUUGUGCUGGGUGCUUGGCACAAAUAGUUGCAUGAAGUCCUUACAACAACCUCAUGAGGCAGGUCCUCUUACCAUCCUCAUUUCACGGAGGAGCAAAGCAAGGCUCACAGAUAGGGUACCUGGCCCCCGUCACCCCGUAGGUUGCUCGACUGUGGGCCUCUAGGGGCUGCACGUGUCACCUCUAACCUUUAGGGAAAGCCCCAGUGUUCAAUGGUUCAUGGUUCAAAUCCCUUUUGUUUUUGUGUGUAUUUGUAUCCAUCUGAAUAUCCUAAAAUUUAAAAAGUUCAAGUAA